UACGUAGGGGGCUAGCGUUGUUCGGAUUCAUUGGGCGUAAAGGGUGCGUAGGCGGCGCGGUAAGUCGGGUGUGAAAUCUUGGAGCUUAACUCCGAAACUGCAUUCGAUACUGCCGUGCUUGAGGACUGGAGAGGAGACUGGAAUUUACGGUGUAGCGGUGAAAUGCGUAGAUAUCGUAAGGAAGACCAGUGGCGAAGGCGGGUCUCUGGACAGUUCCUGACGCUGAGGCACGAAGGCCAGGGGAGCAAACGGG
Molecule: ribosomal RNA, 253 nt
Filed under: uncultured bacterium
Lineage: Bacteria
Description: partial 16S ribosomal RNA
Rfam family: Bacterial small subunit ribosomal RNA
Source: RNAcentral